CAACGAUUAGGUGACUGUGUUACCUGACUCUCAGCAGCAGUAGAGCUCCUGGAAGUCCUGCUUCUUAUUACUACUGUGGACUAGAGCCUCUCCAGAGCUCCCUGGGGCCCUUGGCCUGGGUGAAGAUGGAUGAAGAUCAGAUCCAGCAGCUGUGGGUAGAGGAGGGUCCAGGAAGUAGGCACAAAGCGAGGUCUCAACUGUCAGAACAUGUAAUAAACAAAUCUGGCCAGAGGACUUAGGGGAGGCAGAAGGCACAGUUAACCAUGGCAGCAGAAGUAGCAGAAAUGAGGCUGCUGUGGAAGAGUUAUCCAUCUCACUGUAUAGAUGUUCAAACUUCCUUUUCCAGAAUAGAAUUCUCCUUAACUGUGUCUUGG
Non-coding RNA from Callithrix jacchus (white-tufted-ear marmoset), 374 nucleotides. NCBI's taxonomy places the organism in Eukaryota, Metazoa, Chordata, Mammalia, Primates, Cebidae. The record is from RefSeq and is a predicted model, not a curated record.